AUCAUUCAAUCGGUAGGAGCGACAGGCGGAGUGUACAAAGGGCAUGGACAUAGUCAACGCGAGCUGAUGACUCGCGCUUAAUAGGAAUUCCUCGUUGAAGACCAACAAUUGCAAUGAUCUAUCCCCAUCACGAUGAAAUUUCAAAGAUUACCCGGGCCUAUCGGCCAAGGCUAUAAGCUCGUUGAAUACAUUAG
Solanum stenotomum is the source of this 194-nucleotide long non-coding RNA. RefSeq lists it as uncharacterized. NCBI's taxonomy places the organism in Eukaryota, Viridiplantae, Streptophyta, Magnoliopsida, Solanales, Solanaceae. The transcript is spliced from 2 exons. The record is from RefSeq and is a predicted model, not a curated record.